GUCUACGGCCAUACCACCCUGAAUGCGCCCAAUCUCGGGUCUGAUCUCGGAAGCUAAGCAGGGUCGGGCCUGGUUAGUACUUGGAUGGGAGAAAUACAGCAUCUCAGGCCUCCCCUCAGAACUCUUGAAUCUGGAUA
This 137-nucleotide ribosomal RNA is filed under the name Octodon degus (degu). Lineage: Eukaryota; Metazoa; Chordata; Mammalia; Rodentia; Octodontidae. The record is from RNAcentral.